Molecule: RNA transcript, 7070 nt
Organism: Prionailurus viverrinus (fishing cat)
Lineage: Eukaryota; Metazoa; Chordata; Mammalia; Carnivora; Felidae
Gene: METTL15
Gene name: methyltransferase like 15
Exons: 12
Source: RefSeq, a predicted model, not a curated record
GAUGCAGUGUUUUUUAAAGUCCUAGAUUGUAGAUAUUAUUUCAAAAUGUACGGGUUAAAAAGAAAAAAAAAAUACCAGAAAAAAAGGGAAAUAUGUUUGCUAAGAUAAGUCCAUUUUAUUUGUCAGGAUGUUUUUAAUAGUAUGAUCUGAAUGUCAUUGUUAUUCUUUAUAUUAACAUUAUUGUAUCCAUUCUGCAAUUACUGAUUGUAGACUUUAGGGACAUAAUAGCAUACAUAAAAAUUCCCUGCCUUCUUGGAGCUUAUAUUCUUAUAUGGAGCUUAUCACCAUAAUAAAUAGGAUGGCACAACACAUUGCAGAAUAUUAUAAGUGAAACAAUUAUGAAAACUUCUACAUUAUGGACACUUAUUUCCUUUUGAAGAAAAUCAGAAGCACAGUGUAUUGUAUACGAUGCAUGUUAUAUGAUUGUUUCUGAACUCUGGAUAGUGCAUCAAUAAAGAUAUUAAUUGCUGGCUAUAUUACAUAUAUGUUAGCUAACGCAAUAGUUACUUGUGUGGUGCUGGGUUUGGUAAUAAAAUUGAGAAGUCUUUUUAUUUUAUUUCAAAUAUGUACUCACUCUAUAUUACUUGAUGUAUACUUGAUGUCCCAGGCAUUUUGUUAACUCUAUAUAUGUUAUUUUAUUUCACUCUCAAAAUAGCCCAUGAGAUACAGGCACAAUUUAUUUUACUUAAAAAACAAAAACAAAAACAAGUUUUCAGAAGAUCCCUAAAGGAAAUUUAACUGUACAAACCAGCCAAUUCAGAAAUGAGGCAUUUGUCUCAGAAAUAAUUUCUAGGUUAAGUGAUCUUAAGAUACUUAAUCUAUUCUGAAAAUAGGUAUUUUAAAACCAAUUUCUUGUAAAAUUACGUUCAUUAUUGGUGAAUAAGAAGUGUUUUAGAUUUCAUUUAUUUCGACACCACAUUAUAAGCCUUGCUAACAGGUGUUUCCACACCUAAUCUAAGUGCUUAUUUUACAUUUAACUUUAAAUUCUGCCUUACAGUUGCCAUUUAGCACAUUUAGAUGAUGAGGUCUAUAUUCUUAAAGUAUUGUGUAGUCAAAGCAAAGAAACUUUAAUGUUACAAUAAAUGCCAUCACUCUGCCAGUUGGCUUCUGUUUGGCAAGACAUCAAGAAAUAAAACAAAGUAUGAGACUAGUGUAUUUUGUAACGAAAUGAAGGAAAAAGAACCGAAACCAUAAAAACAUAGGACUAAAGGAGACAGAAAUUCCCACCUUUUGUUAGAAAUUGGGAGUAUAAUGUGUUACAAUAGAACACGGAAAUUUAACAGAGGCUCAUAGUAAACGGAAUAGAGUGGAGUUAAGAAUAAAAUGGAGUUAGGUUUAAAGUUGAUUCAGACAUUAAAAAAAAAAAAGUAAAAGUAAAUUUAAACCUGGCAGUGGUAGGUUCUUAUUUCCGCCCCCUCUUCAGGAACGCUAUUUGAACCCCCUCGCGCCUGCAGGACCCUUUGUCAGCUGGGGCCUGAAAAGAGCGGAACGAAAGGCGGACGGUUUUCGGUUGCUGGGGCGGACGUGGACCCGAUCUGUCCGUCCUUGCAAGUUUCCCCCAAGGCUGGGACCUAGACGUGCGCCAACUCGUGUUCUCUGGCACCGUAGUAGUGGUCGUCGCUGGCCCGAGUUAGAAGCCAACAGUGAAUUCUUCGUGCCUCAGAUUGGUUGACCUACAAGAUGCUUCGAUACCCAUAUUUUUGUAAAAUCUAUAAAGAAUUUCAUUCAUGCUGGUUGGAAUCUGGCAUAUUUAAUUUAGGUAUCUGGCCAAAAAAAAUACAUGCUACAACAGAAAGAUGUAAUGAAUAUGAAGCCGAGGAGCAAACAGAUCAAACUGGAGCUCAGGAGUUACAUAGAUCUCAAAAUGGAGAUUUUGAAGCUAUGACUAAAUUACAUAUCCCAGUAAUGGUGGAUGAAGUUGUUCGUUGUUUGGCACCACAAAAAGGCCAGGGAUAUAUGAUUUCCUGUAAGAAUGUGAAUGGGGAAACUAAAUUCUUUCAAAUGAGUUUCCUGAUCAGAUUUUAUAGAACUACUCUCUACCUCUGUCUACACUAUUUGUGUCCUGGGAGACUGACCUUCCCCGGCCAAAUCAUCUGGCUCCCCUGCCCUGUGGCUUCUGGUUGGAUUACACAAAUGGGAGUCACCAGCUGGAGAUCAGAGAGUGAGAUUUUUCUAGAUAUGACAUUUGGUUCAGGAGGACACACAAGAGCCAUUCUACAGAAGGAGUCAGAUAUUACUCUGUAUGCCUUGGACAGAGACCCGACAGCUUAUGCAAUAGCUGAACAGCUUUCAGAAUUCUAUCCUAAACAGAUCCGAGCUAUGCUAGGCCAGUUCAGCCAGGCAGAAGCCUUAUUAAUGAAAGCUGGAGUGCAGCCAGGGACUUUGGAUGGAGUUCUUUUGGAUCUUGGGUGUUCUUCCAUGCAACUUGAUGCUCCUGAAAGAGGUUUUUCCCUUCGGAAGGACGGCCCCUUGGACAUGAGAAUGGAUGGUGGCAGAUACCCUGACAUGCCCACCGCAGCUGAUGUUGUGAACGCUUUAGAUCAACAGGCACUUGCCUCCAUCCUGAGAACAUACGGGGAGGAGAAGCAUGCCAAGAAAAUCGCUUCAGCAAUCGUUCAGGCUCGCAGCCUCUACCCCAUCUCCAGAACCCAGCAGCUUGCCAGCAUCGUUGCAGAUCAUGUCAUUGGAUACUCCAGAAAAUGAAUAUGUCUUGAAGUGCAUGGAGUGUGUGAUUAAAUCCCUGAGUACGGCCUGUGCUGCUGUGAAAGGAGUUUGGAUACUCCCUAGAGACACAACAUGGAGGGGCUCUGACAUCACAUAGAGAGGGAAAGGAGUCCAGCUGGGACCACCUUCAGCAGUUCCUGCAAAAGCCAAGGCAAGUGAAUGAAGAAGCCAUCUUGGAAAUGGAUCCCCUAGCUCUGUUCACCCCAGCUGAUGCCAUAUGGCUUAGAGAUAAACCAGCCAGGAAAUUCAAAUUUAAGACAGUCAUCUAAAUAAUCAUGGUGGGAAUAAUGGACUGAUAGGGGAGGGGGAUAUGGGUACUGUCUGGUCCUGGGUCAGUGCAUCCUAGAUGUCAGCUGUUGGAAAAUGAAGUUGUUCACAUUCAAGAAUCUAUGCAGAUACUCAGAAUUAGAGCUCAGAGGGCACUGGACAUGUAGAGCUAGGCUACACAAACCAUGCCAAAAGCUUACCAAGGAACUGUGCUGGCAACUGGUGAAGAUAGAAGAUAUCAACAAUAAUGUUACUUCAGCUGCUUUGUAUAUUGAACUUCCAUGUAAGAUGUCAUUUGAACAAAGGCUGAAAAAUAGCAUGAAAGUUACUGACAUAAUGCAACACCCACAUAUUACAGAAGAGGAAACUGAGACCUGGAAAGGUUUUGGGGGCCAAACAAACACUGAACAAAGUGGAUGUAGUUCUGGUCUUUAUGGAGCAUACUGCCUGUGAGGUAAGAUGGAUAAUAAACCAAUAGUUUUAUAUUGCUCAAAUAAUUACCUUAUUAUAGAUGUAAUAAAUAGCAUGAAGAAAAAGUACGGGGCUCAAUGACAGGAUGUUACAGGAUAACACAAGAAUGAGUAAAAGUAACAGAGACUUAGAGAUGACAAUAAAACUUAUUUCUUUGUAUCUCAGUCUAACCCAUACAAUCCCAUUUAUAAAUGCUCCAUAAUCUGUUUGCUUAUGGCUGGAAACACACGAGCAUGGUGAUUCUUGAAGCUAUGUGGUGAGAACAGCAGAACCACACAUUGAAAGCAGCUUGGAUUUCUGAAACCCUGCAUUGAAGGCCACCCACCAAAUGCCAGAAUUGGACUGUUAUGUGUAAGAAGUGAAUUUAUAUUGGGUUUAGCCACAGUAAUGUUGGUAUUUGUUUAUUCUGAAGUUAUAAUUACUAUACCUAAUAUGGAAAGAAAUUCUGAAAUUGAAAUGCAAUACUAUCUAUGACAAAUAUUUAAAAUAGGUGGCAUUGACUUCUCAGUAAUGUGUUAGGAAGCUAGAAAAGUUUAAGAUUGGAAAAAUGGAGGCCUAUGCUAUAAAUUUGAACAAAUGUUUGGUAAAGGUAUUGCUUGUGAUAACCUGAAGGCAGAAGAUAGACCUAAUGAGCCUGUAGUUUCAGUUCUCAACUUGGGGUGAUUUUGAACCCCAGGUGACAUUUGGCAAUGCCUAGAGACAUUUGUGUUUGUCACAACUGGGGAUGAGGAUGGUGUUACAGACAUGUAAUGGGUAGAGGCCAGGGGAUGCUGGUAAAUUUCUAGUAAUGUAUAGGAUAAAUCAGUGAAAUACAAUAAUUAUCUUUUGUAAAAUGUCAAUGAUGCUGAAGUUGAGAAACUCUGUUCUAAGGUAUGUAGUUAGAAAGAUUCAGAAUGAUCAUGUGAAUUGGCUCUCACUUCCAUUUUUCACUCAAAUUACUAGAAAAAUAAAGAUAAAUCCAGAAAUAACUGGAUAGUUUUCAUACAAUAAAGGAAUAUGGAAAAUCUCAAAUUUUAGGUCCUCUAAAAAAAUCCUACUUCAAGACCCUAAACCAUAACAAAUGAGAUCUAAAGAGGUUUUGAAUGACAGUGGCUAAUUUACACAUAACCUUGGAGUAAAGAUCAGAUUAAAGGUAUGUGACCUUCCCACCCAAGUCUUUGAUUUCAACUGGUCUCAAGGUAUCUGCUAUUAAUUUGAGACAGAUUGUUCUGGGAACCUGGAAGCAAAAACCUAAAUCAGCCUUGAGAAUUUUGUCUAAGAAAGAACUUUGGACAUGGUUACUGGAACAUGGAACUGAUUGGAAACUAGAUUACAAAAGAAAUUUUCUUUGGUAAAGCAGUUAGUAUUAUUGUAAUGAGUAGUUACUUAUAAGGGGCUCAAGAAAGUGUCUUUGUGGAAAUAGCAUUUAAGUGGGUCCUUAAAAGAUAAAAGGGAACAAUCAACAAGUCAAAAUUAUAGAACAUUGUAUACUCCCUGGGGCCAGGAACUGAAUGAGAGCCAGAGAAACUCAGAUACAGUAAAUUAAAGGGGAAUAACAAUAGAUGAGGCUGUUAGGUAGGAUAAGAACAUAAAGGGCUUAAAGGCUAUGGUGGGGAUUUUUGGUAGCUUGUGAAUUUCUAGGAAUUUGUCAAUUUCAUCUAGGUUAUCUAAUUUUCUUGGCAUACAGUUGCUCAUAGAAUUUCCUUCUAAUUCAUUUAAUUUUUUUUUUACUUUAGUAGUUUGAAUGUGUCAUCCCAUUGCCUUCUGGCCUUCAUAGCUUCGAUGAGUGUCAGCUGUUAAUCUCAUUGAGCCUCCCUAACACAUGAGUCAGUUUUGCCACUUUCAAGGUUCUCUCUGUCUUUGACACAGAUACACUCAGAGGAAAAACAAAAAAAAAAAAACAAAAAAAUUGUGAAGACACAGGGAGAAGAUGACCAUCUGCAAGCCAAGCAAAAAGGUUAAGAAGAAACAAAUUCUGCUGACACCUUAAUCUUGGACUUCUAUCCUUCAGAACUGUGAAGAAAUAAAUUUCUGUUUAAGUCACCCAGUCUAUAUUAUUUGUUACAACAGUUGAAACAAACUAAUAUAAUUCCUGACACAGCCUUCAUGCAAUUUUAUUCUCCUUUCUUGGUAAUGAUUUUCUCCUCUGUUAGAUGCUCUAACUAUAAGUGAUGAAAACUAAAUGUGUGUAAUUGUUAGAGAAUAUCAAAGAAAAUGAAAACCCUCAUUCUUGCUUAAUUGAUCUGCCCAUUUUUAGGAAGUAUCUUCUUUUAUACCUAGGUUAAGCAGAUUCAGACUUUCUCUAUAAAUUACAAUUCUUUUCUCCUCUCCUUUAAAAAAUAUGUAUGUGAUUUUCUGAUGACAAUCAUUUUGUUGAAUUAUUUUUAACCCUGUUUUGCAAAUAAUCAUUCACCAGAAUAUUGCUGAUGGUCAUGAGAGUAGGAGAGAACUUAUUUUACUACACUGGUUGGGAAACAAAUUUGGUUAGUUAGUUUACACAGUUUGUUGUAUUGAUUUGAACCAUUUAUGUUUUGGUUUAUGUUUUUUUUUUUCUGAUAAGACACAUUGGGAGAAGAAAGUCGGAUGAGAUUUUAAGUCCCACCUAGCUCUGUUACUAAAUAACCAUGUUAUCUUGAGUUAACUAACUGGAUUUUCUGAGUCUACUAACUACUUUGUAAUAUGGCAUUAAUUUCAUGGUUGCCUUACCUGGUCAUUUAUUCUUAAUUCAAUAAAGAAACAAGCAGGCAUUGAGGAAUGCCUAUAUGCCAGGCACUGUAUUAGAUAUUGGUGACUCAAUGGAGAGUAAAGCUAGCCACAAUCUGUUUUUGAGGAGCUCACAUUUUAGCGGGAAAAUAAAUAUUUAUCAAAGAAAUACAAAAAUAAAUAUAAAAUCUCAAUGUUUCUAACUUAUGUGAGGAGAGAGGCUUUGAAAGCUUAUCAUGGAACUGGAGGGGUAUAGGAGAAGGGUAUUUUAUCUAAUCAAAGUGUUUGAAGGUCUCCUCAAGGAAGUGAUAAUUGGGCUGACAUCUGAAAAAGGGAGUAGGUGCCAGCUAGGUCAUUGGGAGGAUAAAAAUAAGCAAUGGAUAUGGAUGCAGUACUAUCUUCUUACUAUCAUUACUGUUUUUUAAUAAAUGGAGACCCAUUCAGCUUUUUUUCAUCUAGUCAGUGAACUUACAAUGUGUCUUAUGAUACCUCCUUGUCUUCAAUAAAUCUUCCCAAACUUAAGGUUGACAUACCCACAGAAUUUCAUAUUCUCAAAGUAAUUACCACAUUCAUGAGAAAAACUAUCAAAAAAAACCCAAUUCAUUGUAAAUCAUGGCCCCUUUACAUUUUUCUUACUCUUGUUGCUAUUUCCCAUUCUUUACCUAUGUUAAAUAAUAACUUUUAUAUCCACUGUAUUUAUCAUAUUAAACUUGAAUUAUGGAAUUCUUUCUGUAUCUUAUCUCAUGCAUUGGAAAUGGAGUUAAUUCUCUUCAGCUUAGUCCUACCCCAGUUUAAAGCCUUUGUAAUAAUGUACGUUGUUUUUGAAGACUUCUGACCAGUAAACUGCAUACUUCAAAAAUGGACCAUCUAAGCCCAACAGACACCAUUUAACAACAAACCGUCUGAUUCUCUAAUACUAGGCAAUU